Long non-coding RNA from Branchiostoma floridae (Florida lancelet), 1795 nucleotides. RefSeq lists it as uncharacterized. The record is from RefSeq and is a predicted model, not a curated record. The transcript is spliced from 3 exons. NCBI's taxonomy places the organism in Eukaryota, Metazoa, Chordata, Leptocardii, Amphioxiformes, Branchiostomatidae.
CUUACAUGUAAAUAAAAAGGUUGUCCAACCACUUUGUGCAGGAUUGGGACGUGUUUUGUUUACAUCGAUUGGGCCAACUGUCUUCCAUUGUCUUCCAUCGCCAACUAUCGAAGCAUUGGCAUUACAGCUCUCUCUGACGCCUCGGACAAUGAUGUCGCUUCCCGUCUGGAUACUGAAACCCCUCAUCACUAGUUUCGUCAUCCAAAGCUGGAGAAUCGUUUUCAUGGUGUACGGAUUUAACGUCCUCAGACGUGCUGUUUCAGACGAGAAAUACAAGCACGUACAGUGGGCCAUUCCUCUUACCUUCAUAGUGACGCUAAUUCUUGAGCUUUUGCUGUACGUCAGUGGAGUCCACUUCGGAAUGGACAUGUGGUUCGUCAAAGCCACCGUGUCAAAAGUUCUUGAACUUUUGUUAUCGUUGAUAAGUCUGGUGGUCUCUCAAAUGAUGACUGACAAGUUUCACGCCGACAUACCAGUUGGGGAGAGGUUGUUUGCACACCUUGUUGUUCAAAACUGUUUGUCGUUCACUGUUGGUUGGGUUGCCAUGGAGACGAUGGUACAACUCGCCGUGAUGCUGGAGAAACUUCGGGAUGUGAGUUCUGAUGGACUUUGGACCAUGAUGCUCUUCGGCACCAUCAGCCAUAACGUGAUAUGGACUUAUGACGAAAACAUAAGGUGCCGUGAGCUGUGUCGAGUCGCCGUCACAACACACGUGCACGCCCCUGUCAUCAUGUUCAUGGCCUGGACACUGCCAAGUGUUCCUGAAGGUGUCACUUUGCACAUGGCACGUACGUGUUCUACUGUUGGUGACGGGUGUCCUUUUAGUCGUGCGCCUCGCCAAGGCCUUCACACAAAUCAAGGACUUCACAGUAGUGGCCCUCCCACACCAGAAAGGGUUGGUCCAGUCUCAGAAAGAGAUGGUUCCCCUGGCGAUGUACACCAAAACUACAUGACUUCAUUUCAGCACGUCAAACUUUGUUCAUAUUCCCAGUACUGUAGUGUAUGCAUUGUGCACCUGCUUGUUAUCGAAGCAUGGUAAUUACAUGAUUAUUCCUAAUUUCGAUGAAAUGAACCGUUUUGUGCAUAUUGUCAUGGUGGGUACUCUUGGUCCUUCCCCAAGACACACUCGAGUUGACGUUGAAUCAGAAAACAAAGUAGAUGAUAACAGAACACGCAGUAGCUAAGAUGUGUUUUACGUGAGAACUUAAGUUUUGUAAUUGUUCUUACAACUGUUUCUUAAUCUACCUGUCUUGCUCUCUUUUUUUCAUAAAAAGUAUUGCGACUUACACUGGCAGACAUCUGAAUUUAAGAAACCCUAUGACACCACCUGUAUGACGACAACUGUUAAUCUUGAAACGUUCGCGGUGGUUUAUUUUCUCCUUUAUUUUUGGCGAUGCAUUUCCACAGCUAAGUAAUACAAUCGUUGACUAGGUUUUACUAUGCUACAGUAUUGCUUCGACCGUAAACAUAGCGACAAAAUAUCAUUUCUUAUUGCUAACGAAAAAUUACAUCCCCGGGUGCCGGUAAAAAAUAAAUGAAUCUACAGUAGUAUACGUAACACUGGUAGUCUUAAUGCCGUAGAGAGGCGGAGGUAUAGUUGUGAUCGUUGUAAUCUGUAACACUGGCUGCAGCGUGAAUUUGAUCAUAAAUGCAUGUUGGAUGUGGUGUUUUCUAGACAUAUGAGUGAGGUUGGAAGUUCUAGUCCACCAAGAAAAUUAACUCAUCGAUGUCUUUGUGCGGUGUGCUCACACAAGCAUCGCCGAAUAUCGAUCAGCACACUGUUUUUGGUAUGAUA